This 954-nucleotide long non-coding RNA is filed under the name Marmota monax (woodchuck). The record is from RNAcentral. Lineage: Eukaryota; Metazoa; Chordata; Mammalia; Rodentia; Sciuridae.
GCGUUGAAUACAUCCAACCUACCAAAUGUCAUGGCCUAGCAGUGGCACACUGCAGGGUGUCGGUGACUGUGGCUUGACUGGAAGCGGUGGCCACACGGCUGCUGCCGCACCUGCCCAGUGUCACAAGAGAAUAUCAAACCACAUGCCACUAGCCCGGGAGAAGAUCAAAAUCCAAAAUUCAAAGUGGAGUUCCCAAGGAAGUCUCAACGCUUUCUCACAACGUUAAAACAAACAAACAAAUGUGAGUUGAACCCCUCUAAGUCAGGGACCAUCUGCAAUUUAUCCUUGCACCCGAGUAUCCAGAGAGAGAAUUCUAGGUUACAGGUAGUUUUCUUCAUUAGGGAAACACAGUUUUCACCUGAUUGUCCUCUUUCAGCACAGUGGCUUUCCUCAGCUGUGUUGGGGACACUUGUGGCUUGGAGAUCCUGUUUUUUCCUCUCCAGAGAAUACACCUUUGCAUUUUUCCUAGGGUGGGGGACAGGUGGUUGUUCUCUUGCAAAGGGGGUGGGAAAGGUGACAGGAAAGGCGCUGAUAUGGAACCCAAGGCUCCCGUGUGACAGGGUAGUGCUCCACCCCCAACCCCCAGCUCCGAUCUGAAUGUUAAAUCGACAUUUAACCAUUUUUCUCCAUAGGCACCUGGUACUGCAAAUCCUGAGUCACUCUUGCCUUUUCCUUGUGUUCACAUAGGAUUCAGUUCCUUCAGGUUUGUUAGUGUCUUUGUUCGUCUUCUCCCCAUUCUCCAGCUUUCCAAAUGACUUUUCUUUUCCCUUCUCUCUUUUUUUUUAAUUAAAAUUCAUGCCCUAAAAAUAAUUUUUAAAGAAAUCCCAUUACAGUUGAUUCAGGAGGGUAUUGAGGAAGGAAGAAAAGCGUACAACACUGCUUCCCUCUGUCCUCUGCCCCUCUGGCUGACUCUUGGCAGAGCACAGCAGCUUCAGAGUUGUUGUUUACAGUGGA